This 253-nucleotide ribosomal RNA is filed under the name uncultured bacterium. RNAcentral's name for it is "partial 16S ribosomal RNA". It matches the Rfam family "Bacterial small subunit ribosomal RNA", at positions 524 to 776 of the family's 1533-position model. The record is from RNAcentral.
UACGAAGGGGGCUAGCGUUGUUCGGAAUCACUGGGCGUAAAGCGCACGUAGGCGGAUUUGCCAGUCAGGGGUGAAAUCCCGGGGCUCAACCUCGGAACUGCCUUUGAUACAGCAAAUCUCGAGCCCGGAAGAGGUGGGUGGAAUUCCUAGUGUAGAGGUGAAAUUCGUAGAUAUUAGGAAGAACACCAGUGGCGAAGGCGGCCCACUGGUCCGGUGCUGACGCUGAGGUGCGAAAGCGUGGGGAGCAAACAGG